GUAUGGCUGGCCCAGGAAGCACAGGUGCAAGCAAUUCCCUUAUGAUGCCCACAUGAGCGAAAGGGGUGGACCCUGAGUCCUCCCAUCUCUGGGCUCAUUUAAGGGCUAGCUUCAGAAGAGGAAAGGUUUCUUGGACAAAGGGACCUUCCUGAGGAGGAGUGUUUUAUUAUCAGAGACCUUUAUCACCAGGUGGAAAUGAAAAUUUAAGUUUCCAGUUACUGCUCUCUUGAACGGAGGAACUGCCACCUUUUAUAGCCGUAGAAAACAAGAACCUGUGAGACUAAAUGUUCCUGGAUAAGGAUAUAGGAGGGAAGACUAAGUCAUAAGUAUUCAGCUUUAGACAAGUUUGGCAGAUCCAGAAUCAUGAGCCACUGCAUUUUUCCUUCUUGGUGAGAAAGCUUCCAGGGACAAAAGAAAAUGUCCUCAUUUCUUCUUAUCCUGCUAGUGUAUUGAUUCUUCCUGAGAGCCAUCAUGGAGAGUAGUGCUGGGAAUGCAUUCUGUUAUUACUUUAUUACUCCAUCCUGAUCUUCAGCCUGUCCUAACUGAAUUACAACAAAGACUUCUGCACUGACUAUUUUACCAAAUAACAGAGCAAAUAAUUACAGGUUUUCUUGCAGAAUUUACUCUAAGAAAAUUACUGUUAAAGCCACUGGCUUGAGGCUAGGUAAAUCAACAUAAUGAGCUUUAUAUAAUGCUCUUUUCAGAAAUCUUCCAUAGUUUGGCUGUCAACAGUUUUUAAUCUGAGUGUCAUGAAUUGUAGAUUAUGUGGGCUAUCUUCACCUUCCAGUCCCUGCAGAAAAAACUGAAGCAAAAAAGGCAAGUUCCUGCUUCUUAGUGUCUUCCUUUACCAGGGCACGCACCUCACUCAUCAGCAGGCCCCCGUUUUCCCUAGUCUUCUUCCUUCUGCUAUAUAUCAUUACGUAAAACUUACUUUCCUGAAGUGUUUAAGUAGAUUGCUUAGUUGCUCAUGAGACAUGGUUGUUAUAUGUGGAUCCAUCGUGUGGGACAUGGAAAACCUUUAACUGAACAGUAACCCAUGCCAUAUAAAUCUUUAUGUGCAUGUAUAUUUGAUGAUUAAGUUCAGGCAUAAUGGUCUAAUCCCAGGUAAAAUGAGACUGAAGAGAGUAAUGACUGAAAAAGAGCACAGUCGGAGACACUGCCUGAGAGGUCCUCAGUUGCCUAAAUAAUGUGUGCUGAGUAAU
Long non-coding RNA from Numida meleagris (helmeted guineafowl), 1202 nucleotides. RefSeq lists it as uncharacterized. NCBI's taxonomy places the organism in Eukaryota, Metazoa, Chordata, Aves, Galliformes, Numididae. The transcript has 4 exons. The record is from RefSeq and is a predicted model, not a curated record.